This 481-nucleotide ribosomal RNA is filed under the name uncultured bacterium. RNAcentral's name for it is "partial 16S ribosomal RNA". It matches the Rfam family "Bacterial small subunit ribosomal RNA", at positions 28 to 505 of the family's 1533-position model. The record is from RNAcentral.
GACGAACGCUGGCGGCGUGCUUAACACAUGCAAGUCGAACGCUGAAGCUCAGCUUUUGUUGGGUGGAUGAGUGGCGAACGGGUGAGUAACACGUGAGUAACCUGCCUCCUUCUUUGGGAUAACGCCCGGAAACGGGUGCUAAUACUGGAUAUUCACUGGUCUUCGCAUGGGGGUUGGUGGAAAGGGUUUUUCUGGUGGGGGAUGGGCUCGCGGCCUAUCAGCUUGUUGGUGGGGUGAUGGCCUACCAAGGCUUUGACGGGUAGCCGGCCUGAGAGGGUGACCGGUCACAUUGGGACUGAGAUACGGCCCAGACUCCUACGGGAGGCAGCAGUGGGGAAUAUUGCACAAUGGGCGCAAGCCUGAUGCAGCGACGCCGCGUGAGGGAUGGAGGCCUUCGGGUUGUGAACCUCUUUCGCUCAUGGUCAAGCCGCAACAAUGGUUGUGGUGAGGGUAGUGGGUAAAGAAGCGCCGGCUAACUACG